GAUGAACGCUGGCGGCGUGCCUAACACAUGCAAGUCGAACGAAGCACCUUACCUGAUUCUUCGGAUGAAAGUUUGGUGACUGAGUGGCGGACGGGUGAGUAACGCGUGGGUCACCUGCCCUGUACAGGGGGAUAACAGCUGGAACCGGCUGCUAAUACCUCAUAAGCGCACGAGGAUACAUCUCCUUGUGUGAAAAACUCCGGUGGUACAGGAUGGGCCCGCGUCUGAUUAGCUGGUUGGCAGGGUAACGGCCUACCAAGGCAACGAUCAGUAGCCGGUCGGAGAGGAGGAACGGCCACAAUGGAACUGAGACACGGUCCAAACUCCUACGGGAGGCAGCAGAGGGGAAUAUUGCACAAUGGGGGAAAACCUGAUGAAGCAACGCCGCGUGAGUGAAGAAGUAUUUCGGUAUGUAAAGCUCUAUCAGAAGGGAAGAUAAUGACGGUACCUGAUGAAGAAGCACCGGCUAAAUACGUG
Molecule: ribosomal RNA, 477 nt
Filed under: uncultured bacterium
Lineage: Bacteria
Description: partial 16S ribosomal RNA
Rfam family: Bacterial small subunit ribosomal RNA
Source: RNAcentral